This 264-nucleotide ribosomal RNA is filed under the name Campylobacter coli. RNAcentral's name for it is "partial 23S ribosomal RNA". It matches the Rfam family "Bacterial large subunit ribosomal RNA", at positions 1971 to 2234 of the family's 2925-position model. The record is from RNAcentral. Lineage: Bacteria; Pseudomonadati; Campylobacterota; Epsilonproteobacteria; Campylobacterales; Campylobacteraceae.
GUCGGUUAAAUACCGACCUGCAUGAAUGGCGUAACGAGAUGGGAGCUGUCUCAAAGAGGGAUCCAGUGAAAUUGUAGUGGAGGUGAAAAUUCCUCCUACCCGCGGCAAGACGGAGAGACCCCGUGGACCUUUACUAUAGCUUGACACUGCUACUUGGAUAAGAAUGUGCAGGAUAGGUGGGAGGCUUUGAGGCUAGGACGCCAGUUCUAGUGGAGCCAUUGUUGAGAUACCACUCUUUCUUAUUUGGGUAGCUAACCAGCUUGA